CAGCCGCCGCGGUAAAACCAGCACCUCAAGUGGUCAGGAUGAUUAUUGGGCCUAAAGCAUCCGUAGCCUGCUUUGUUAGUUUUCGGUUAAAUCCAUACGCUUAACGUAUGGGCUGCCGGGAAUACUGCAAAGCUAGGGAGUGGGAGAGGUAGACGGUACUCGGUAGGAAGGGGUAAAAUCCUUUGAUCUAUUGAUGACCACCUGUGGCGAAGGCGGUCUACCAGGACACGUCCGACGGUGAGGGAUGAAAGCUGGGGGAGCAAACCGGAUUAGAUACCCGGGUAGUCCCAGCUGUAAACUAUGCAAACUCGGUGAUGCAUUGGCUUGGUGCCAAUGCAGUGCCGCAGGGAAGCCGUUAAGUUUGCCGCCUGGGAAGUACGUACGCAAGUAUGAAACUUAAAGGAAUUGGCGGGGGAGCAC
RNAcentral lists this ribosomal RNA (420 nucleotides) under uncultured Nitrososphaerota archaeon. RNAcentral describes it as "bacterial SSU rRNA". It matches the Rfam family "Archaeal small subunit ribosomal RNA", at positions 459 to 879 of the family's 1478-position model. The record is from RNAcentral. Lineage: Archaea; Thermoproteati; Nitrososphaerota.